GAAUAAGAGGUCCAGCCUGCCCUGUGACUAUAUGUUUAACGGCCGCGGUAUUUUAACCGUGCGAAGGUAGCGCAAUCACUUGUCUUUUAAAUGGAGACCUGUAUGAAUGGCAUAACGAGGGCUUAACUGUCUCCUUUUUCAAGUCAAUGAAAUUGAUCUCCCCGUGCAGAAGCGGGGAUAAAUCCAUAAGACGAGAAGACCCUAUGGAGCUUUAGACACCAAAGUAUAUCAUGCUAAACACCCUUAAAUAAAAGAUUAAGCCAAAUGAUCUAUACUCCUAUGUCUUUGGUUGGGGCGACCGCGGGGAAAUAAAAAACCCCCAUGUGGAAUAGGGGCACUGCCCCUACAACCAAGAGCUGCAGCUCUAAUAAACAGAAUUUCUGACCAAUAAGAUCCGGCAACGCCGAUCAACGGACCGAGUUACCCUAGGGAUAACAGCGCAAUCCCCUUUUAGAGCCCAUAUCGACAAGGGGGUUUACGACCUCGAUGUUGGAUCAGGACAUCCUAAUGGUGCAGCCGCUAUUAAGGGUUCGUUUGUUCAACGAUUAAAGUCCUACGUG
Molecule: ribosomal RNA, 560 nt
Filed under: Cubiceps squamiceps (Indian driftfish)
Lineage: Eukaryota; Metazoa; Chordata; Actinopteri; Scombriformes; Nomeidae
Description: partial 16S rRNA
Rfam family: Bacterial large subunit ribosomal RNA
Source: RNAcentral